CUCGGUGCUCUGGGCUCCCACCCAGGCCAGGGGGCGGUGCCUGCCCCAGCCCCUCCCACUUCCCCUGUCUCUGUGUUUCCAUCCCUUUCUUCACUGGAGGCCCUGGCCACAGGCAACCUGCAGACGGGGCUACUGGCAACCCUCCCCCCCCUCCCCGGCUCGGUUGGAGCCCUGCACAGCAGUGGUUAGCUCACAGGCUCCGAGACUGACCAUGUCAGUCGGAUUCGGAUCCUGGCUCUGUAUUCUAGGAACUGUGCAGCUUGGAGCAAGUAACUUGCUACCAUGUCCUCUUCCGGGAAAUGGAGUUUCGCAGAGUGCCUGGCUGGCACACAGACCGUGCCCCACACAGGACUCGGCACAGUUGUGGUUUUCCCUGUGAAGCCUAAAGCUGCUGCUAAGUCUUCACCUAGAAAGCUCUCCCAGGCCUACUGAGAGGACUCACCAGCAUUCUUC
This 453-nucleotide long non-coding RNA is filed under the name Ursus maritimus (polar bear). RNAcentral's name for it is "lncRNA (ENSUMAG00000016191.1)". Lineage: Eukaryota; Metazoa; Chordata; Mammalia; Carnivora; Ursidae. The record is from RNAcentral.